CUCGGGCUCUGAAGGAAGGGAAGGAGGAGAAGGAGGUGGUGGUGGAGGAGGAGGAGGGAAGAGCUGGGCUGAUACACUCCCUGCGCAGCUCUGGCUCCUCUGAGGGGCGUGGAAGGGUAGAGGGAGGGAGGCAGCUUCUGGACUGCUGUUCUGGGCUAUUGCAACUUCAGGGCAAGUUUUGAGAAUUGCAAUUAUCUGGUUUCUGGCAGGCAGCUGAGGCCAGAUGAUCCUGAUGCAGAAACAGAAGAAGACAAUUCUGUGAAUGAAGUACCUAUUGAUGAAAUUAUCCGUCCUAGGCCUCAGGGCUCCUCACCAGUCUAUGAGUACUCCAUUGACGAAGCACACUUCAGCAAGGGGGUAAGCCUUGCCUACAGUCAAUUCAAUUUCACAAGGUUUUAUUAAGCCCCUACUAUGUGCCAGGCACUAUGCCAGGCUCUGGGGAUAUGAAGACAAUAAUGAAGUGGUCUCAGCCUUCAAGGAACUUAUAUUCUAC
This 493-nucleotide long non-coding RNA is filed under the name Vombatus ursinus (common wombat). Its description in RNAcentral is "lncRNA (ENSVURG00010005490.1)". The record is from RNAcentral. Lineage: Eukaryota; Metazoa; Chordata; Mammalia; Diprotodontia; Vombatidae.